RNAcentral lists this non-coding RNA (24 nucleotides) under Cricetulus griseus (Chinese hamster). Lineage: Eukaryota; Metazoa; Chordata; Mammalia; Rodentia; Cricetidae. The record is from RNAcentral.
ACUCAAUGUGAACGGAAAAGACUU